UGCAGCGAUUAGAGACACAGGUUAUGCUUCCAUCACAGCAAGUUUAUUGCUGCGAUGAUAAUGAGACCUGUAACAUUU
This is a small nucleolar RNA of Ursus americanus (American black bear), 78 nucleotides long. The record is from Ensembl. NCBI's taxonomy places the organism in Eukaryota, Metazoa, Chordata, Mammalia, Carnivora, Ursidae.